ACUCAAAGGUGUUCAUGGACAGAUCCGGUAGGUGUUUCAACUGUUUAAUAAAAGCUAAAUUGUCAUUUGUAUGUAGGUAGUCUGUCACUGUCACACAAACCUCCAGAAAUGAAUUAUAUUUUGCAUUAAAUUAGAAUUGCACACUUUUUUAUACGUUUGAAUGCCUUCAAUCAGACAUCUAGUCGAACUAGUAUUCCAGUCAGCACUUUCUAAUCUUUCUUGACUUUUCUGGAAUGACUGGAAAUUUAAAUCAGACGUGUAUGUAUUAUGUGUACUGUUGUUUUGCUUAUAACAUCCUUUUUUUCUUUUCUUUUUUUUACAGGCGCUGCCUGAGAAUGUUCUGGAGUUAUUAAGGAAAUGCUUGACAUUUCUUCCAUCCAAAAGCCUGUGAGUCUGUUCUCUACUUUACUGCGCUGUGCACAUCUGGAGACUUCUGCAAAGAUGAUGAUGAAGACUACCUGUUGCCAACACUGGCUGUCACACAGUAACACAAACAACCUGAUUAACUGAUUGAGGCAGCUUUCCCCAUUGGAAAGUGCUGUCUGACAUCAAGGCCUAUCUUUACAAGGAGAACUUGGUGUGGAAAGAGGCCAGUGUGGAUAUUCUUCCUCUUGUUCGAGGCCUAGGGGUGGGCAGCCAGUGCAGUUUUAACACUGUUGUGUUUAGACUCCCAUACCAACUGUCAGACAGAUUGAGGUGGACAUCUACAAUCUACAAAGUCAUUUAGCAGACGCUUUUAUCCAAAGCGACGUACAAAUGAGAGUUAAUACGACACAAGCAAGGAUGAAGUCAAGAAACAUAGCAAGAGUAAGUGCCAUGGGUUAAGUCUGAGUCCAUUAGGACGCAAGUGCUUUUAGGUUGUGCAAGCGGUCAGUGCGAUACUUAUGGUUGUCAUCUGUGGAGAUCAGGGAUGGGCAACUGGAGGCCCGGGGGCCGCAUACCGCCCGCACCCUCACUUGAAGUGGCCCUCAGUACAACUACAUGCAUUUGAGCAUGAAAUUUUAAAAGUGCAGUGUAAAAAUGCACAAAAUGACUUCUUGCAAUUAAUGUUGGUCUGCUGUUCUUGCACUGAAAAAAAAGAAAUCACAAUAAGUGGUUAUUUUUUAUUUGCUUCAGACCUUUUGUAUUCCUAUUUAUACUGUUAUACAUGCAUUUGAGCAUGAAAUAUGUUAAGUUACUGCACUAUAAACAUAUUUAAAAUUGCAGUUUCAUCAUAUCUGAUUAAGUGCACGGUCCUAUAUGUGGCCCUGUGGUCGUGUCGAUGAAACAUUGUGGACCCCUCCAGCAUUUAAGUUGCCCAUCCCUGGUGUAGAUCAAGUGUGAAGAUGUUCAGUAAAGAGUUGGUCUUCAGUAUCUUCUUAAAGAUUGAUAAGGACUCAGCAGAUCGGAUGGAGUUUGGAAGUUCGUUCCACCACCAGCUCACUACAGAGGAGAAGAGUCUGGUUUGAGGCGCAGGGCCCUUCAGCGGCAGAGGAGCCAGACGUCUCUCACAUGAAGAGCGUAGUGGGCCGGAGGGUUUGUGGACCAGAACAAAGGAGAUCAGAUAAGAAGGCGUUGACGUUGCUAUUUUGUAGGCAAGAGACAAGAGACGCUGCCACCAGUACGAUGAGCUGCUGUCGUCUCCUCAGGGCCACAUCAAGUUCAGGCGUGUGUUGAAAGCCUGGGUGGUGUCCCACCCUGACCUGGUCUACUGGCAGGGUCAGACACUCUUCCUUCAGUCUCUCUUGAAAUUUCUUUUUAAGUCUUAUUCUCUCUUUUUUUUCCUUCUCUUUGUUUUUCCAUCAGUUUUCUUUCUCCCUCUAUUUCAUUUUCGCUAUUCCUUCUUGUACUAUACAGGAGUAGACACUAGAUGGUGCUCACGUCACAUCUUCGACUCAUCUCAGUUACAACUGUGUGGCCCUAUUCAAAAACAAAAAAAAUGUUUUGAUUUUCUUUGCAUUAUUUCAGAUUUGGAAUGAUGUCCAUCUGACCAAUUAUGUUAUCACACAUCAGUGCAAUAAAUGCAAAGGAUCCUGGCGGACUGAGCUUGGUAGCUGUUGUCAUGGAAUUCAUGAGAGAAUAUUAGAGAAUCUGAUUUAUUAGAGAAUAACGUAGGUUUUCAAUCACAUUGGCACACAACAGAAAGAACACUCGCAGACAUCCUGUCAUCUAAACAGGAUAAGCAGGACGGUUAGGAUAAGGUGUUGAUUCUGAUUCAGGAGAAUAAUAUGAGAACAAAUCCAGGAAAUAAAAGCGUGUGAACCAAGCCUCACAAGAGUAAAAUACACAUGAACUCCACAUUAUAAAAAGACAGGACAGAAACGUGGGCCGGAGCUGUUUUGACCAAAUUGCAUGUCUGUACUUUGCCAGUGGAAUCUGUAUUUUGAUAUAUUUUAAUUUAAUUCAGCACAAGGCUGUUUCCCAAGAACUGUUCAUUGUCAUCCAUUGUUUGUCAAGAUUUCCCUCAACAAUGUCACCCUUGUUUGAGAACAAAGUGAUUCAGCUGCCAUUUUAAGAGUUUGACAAAUGGAGCGACAGCCUGCAAGCUAGUUCAGCAAAACACACCUUUAUCCAAUCCAGCGGUCUCCAAUGCUGCUGCUGCUGCAUCUGUAUUGUUGCUUGCUUACAGCAUCCACCUGUACGCUCCAAGUCCGGGGGGGGGGGGGGUGUUACUA
Long non-coding RNA from Centropristis striata (black sea bass), 2654 nucleotides. RefSeq lists it as uncharacterized. The record is from RefSeq and is a predicted model, not a curated record. NCBI's taxonomy places the organism in Eukaryota, Metazoa, Chordata, Actinopteri, Perciformes, Serranidae. The transcript has 5 exons.